GAUGAACGCUGGCGGCGUGCCUAAUACAUGCAAGUCGAGCGAACGGACGAGAAGCUUGCUUCUCUGAUGUUAGCGGCGGACGGGUGAGUAACACGUGGAUAACCUACCUAUAAGACUGGGAUAACUUCGGGAAGCCGGAGCUAAUACCGGAUAAUAUUUUGAACCGCAUGGUUCAAAAGUGAAAGACGGUCUUGCUGUCACUUAUAGAUGGAUCCGCGCUGCAUUAGCUAGUUGGUAAGGUAACGGCUUACCAAGGCAACGAUGCAUAGCCGACCUGAGAGGGUGAUCGGCCACACUGGAACUGAGACACGGUCCAGACUCCUACGGGAGGCAGCAGUAGGGAAUCUUCCGCAAUGGGCGAAAGCCUGACGGAGCAACGCCGCGUGGGUGAUGAAGGUCUUCGGAUCGUAAAACUCUGUUAUUAGGGAAGAACAUAUGUGUAAGUAACUGUGCACAUCUUGACGGUACCUAAUCAGAAAGCCACGGCUAACUACGUG
RNAcentral lists this ribosomal RNA (497 nucleotides) under uncultured bacterium. Its description in RNAcentral is "partial 16S ribosomal RNA". It matches the Rfam family "Bacterial small subunit ribosomal RNA", at positions 28 to 507 of the family's 1533-position model. The record is from RNAcentral.